UCGGGAAUUUUGGGCAAUGGGGGAAACCCUGACCCAGCAACGCCGCGUGAAGGAUGAAGUAUUUCGGUAUGUAAACUUCGAAAGAAUAGGAAGAAUAAAUGACGGUACUAUUUAUAAGGUCCGGCUAACUACGUGCCAGCAGCCGCGGUAAUACGUAGGGACCAAGCGUUGUUCGGAUUUACUGGGCGUAAAGGGCGCGUAGGCGGCAUGACAAGUCACUUGUGAAAUCUCUGGGCUUAACCCAGAACGGCCAAGUGAUACUGUCGCGCUAGAGUGCAGAAGGGGCAAUCGGAAUUCUUGGUGUAGCGGUGAAAUGCGUAGAUAUCAAGAGGAACACCUGAGGUGAAGGCGGGUUGCUGGGCUGACACUGACGCUGAGGCGCGAAAGCCAGGGGAGCAAACGGGAUUAGAUACCCAAGUAGUCCCUGAGCGGGCUGGCAAGGCGCAU
RNAcentral lists this ribosomal RNA (447 nucleotides) under uncultured bacterium. Its description in RNAcentral is "bacterial SSU rRNA". It matches the Rfam family "Bacterial small subunit ribosomal RNA", at positions 355 to 825 of the family's 1533-position model. The record is from RNAcentral.